This 904-nucleotide unclassified non-coding RNA is filed under the name Hevea brasiliensis (rubber tree). The record is from RNAcentral. Lineage: Eukaryota; Viridiplantae; Streptophyta; Magnoliopsida; Malpighiales; Euphorbiaceae.
UGUUGACAAGAAAAGACGGUUAUUUCGCGUUGGAUCCUUGAAAUGGCUCAGUGGUUUAUUUCCUAAACAAAUCGAUGAGCUUCAAUGCAAGGUUCGUCAUGGUCCUGGGUUUUACAACUGCAGCUUGGUCAUGGAAGUUGAUCAACAUGGCCAGGAAGUUGCAGUUGUCCGGUUAUCUGGAGAUGAUCAGGGUUUGGCAGCUGGACAAUUUGCGGCCUUUUACGAUGGAAGGACUUGUAUUGGUUCUGGCAUAAUACUGGAGUCAUGGGAUGAUCAGGGAUAUCCUAUUUGUGAGAGGGCUCUUGAAAUUGCUCGAAUGGAAGAUAAAUCCAAGCUCGGGAAACCUGUCAAGAUAAUGGUAAAACCUGAGCUUAGUGUUACUACAAUCUGAUUAUGACUACCAGACAAAUCCUUAUACUACUAAUUAUAGAAUUAUUUUCAACAUGAGUGCGUUCUGAACAAUGGGAUUUCGCCUGAUUUGAUAACCGUUAAAUUGACUGGGAUAGCUUGAAGAACAGCAGAGUGACAAAGUGUUUUUAGGCUCUAUACUUUGAACUCUCGAAAUUCAUCAGGAGGGAUAGUCUUUACCUUCUCAAGGUAGGGGUUAAGGUUUCCACACACUCCACCCUCCCCAAACCCCUCCAGUGGGAUACAAUGGGUUCGUAGUUAUUAUCAGGAGGGGUAGUGAAGUUUGCACCAGAGACUGGACUGGUUGGUUGGUUGGUUGAUCUUCAGUUAUAGAGUAACUAGUGUCAAUAUGAUGGACCAGUUGCUUCAUGUUAUGUAUUAACACACAACAAUUCUUCUUUGUUGCUCUCAGUGUGUCAGUGAAUUUUGUUGGCUUUGAGAAGAUAUUUGUCCAAUUAUAUCAAUAUCACUUUUAAUCUCAAAUAUAUGAUGUUUA